UUGUGAGAGUGAUCCGUCUAAAACCCAGAGCAGCCUAGAGCUCAGAGAUGGGAGGAGCGAAAGAGAGAGGCUGCAGAGAGGAUGGAGAAAGAGAGAGAGUCUGCAGCCACAGUGAAAGGGAGAAGAGGUACAAGGGAAGAGAAGCGAAUCUGAAAGAGAAGCAGACGCAGAGCUGAAGGCAGGUGGGGAGGCAGGUUUUCGGACAACGCUGCCAGGCCACUGGGACUGGGGAGAACCCUAUGGUAAUUGCGCUCUCAUUAAGGGAGGGAGGGUGAGGGCGACUAAUGACUGCUGCUUUAAGUAUGCGGAAAAACAACUCCCUCUGAACAGAACUAGCUGGAGUGUCAGAGAUCUGCAGUUUGCCUCGGUGACAACAUGGGACAGAGAAGGCCUGAAACGUACUGUGCUCAUAACCGGAAAUUCCUGGGAAAAUCAAACAGUGAAAGAUGUAGCUUGCAUCCUGGAUACAAAGAUUCAUGGAGGAAGUAACGGGAACAUUUCUGAUCAAGGCAAAGUUGGAUGUAUAAUCCAACACUGAUUUCAAGCUCCAAGAUGGUGAUGUAAACUGUGGCAAAUAACAGGUUGUUGCAGUUUUGAAAUGGUGGAUAAAGCUAGCUUUGGGAUGUUUUCUGACAGUUUGUUGGAUUGGAUUUAAUUUUUAUUAUAUUUUGUUGGAAUUUUACUGACCAGACGACUGACUGGACCACUAAACAGCGAUGAAUGUUCGAUUCAAGGCCCCAAGCUGCGCUGCGCUGGAGGAGGAGUAGUCAAAAGGCGUCUGGGAUCACCCCCCCCCAAUGCUAAAGGGAAAUCGAGUUUCCAUUGAUUGAUUUUAAAUGUGACUUCCAUGUGCAUAAUUGUGGAUUUGAGGGAAGAUGUAUUUCUCCAAACUGUGGGGGAGUACCUUGAUGCUCAUAAACCCACAAUGCGCUGGAGAUCUAGUGUGGGAACACUGAGAAUAAAAGGCCUAAAACCUACAGGUUCAAUCUCCUGUGAACAUGUAGUUGAUUUAAAAGAAUGAACAUUCUGUGCCAAGGACAAGAAGCGCCCACAUACAGUUUUGUUAAAUAAACUAUGAAACAAAUUAAAUAUUAUUGUGUGGUACACAA
Molecule: long non-coding RNA, 1109 nt
Organism: Epinephelus moara (kelp grouper)
Lineage: Eukaryota; Metazoa; Chordata; Actinopteri; Perciformes; Serranidae
Exons: 2
Source: RefSeq, a predicted model, not a curated record